GCCGGGAUAGCUCAGUUGGUAGAGCAGAGGACUGAAAAUCCUCGUGCCACCAGUUCAAAUCUGGUUCCUGGCAU
RNAcentral lists this transfer RNA (74 nucleotides) under Wollemia nobilis. RNAcentral describes it as "tRNA-Phe". It matches the Rfam family "tRNA". Rfam says of the family: Transfer RNA (tRNA) molecules are approximately 80 nucleotides in length. The record is from RNAcentral. Lineage: Eukaryota; Viridiplantae; Streptophyta; Pinopsida; Araucariales; Araucariaceae.